GAUUUCUGGCUUAAUGCACCUGGCCCGCGGCCACUAGGCUUGUGAGUGCCGGCGCGCGUUUACCAUCCUUCUAGAAAACGUUUCUGCCAUUUUCGGUUCUAUUUUGUUGGUUUCUUUCACUGAAGUAAUGAUUGAUAGGGAUAGUUGGGGGUGCUAGUAUUGGCCGGCCAGAGGUGAAAUUCUUGGAUUCGGUCAAGACUCACUUAUGCGAAAGCAUUCACCAAGGAUGUCUUCUUCUGUCUCUUAUACACA
Molecule: ribosomal RNA, 252 nt
Filed under: uncultured Cercozoa
Lineage: Eukaryota; Cercozoa
Description: partial 18S ribosomal RNA
Rfam family: Eukaryotic small subunit ribosomal RNA (bases 97-237)
Source: RNAcentral